CCAGGUAAAUCGAAGUAAAUGAUUUUCUAAAGGUCAGUCUCCCUGAAAGCAUUUGGGCUUGCUCUCUCUCUCUCUCUCUCUCUCUCUCUCUCUCUCCUUUUUUAAUAUUGUGUUUUUCCAGUUGGAAAAGGAAGACAAGACUAAGAGAGUUGAACCGGGGUAGGUAGGGACAUUGUAAAAUAUGGUUUAGAGAGGUCGUGAGACUGAGUCGCUGAAAGUAUGUUUCCUCACUAUAAUAGUGAGCUGUGAACCUGUGUAUUGUAGGGAGAGAAGGGGACAGACCCUGGCAAUGAGGGGGAGGAGGUCGCCGAAUCGAGGAAGUCGAAGAGAGUUCUUUUUUUAAUUUGUUUUCCGUUCUUCGUUGUAAAUUGCUGCUAAACACUUCUGACUUUUAAAUUGCUACUAAGACGGUCCAUAAACCGUUCUCAUCCAAUUUAGUCACUUUUAUUACAUUCCUCUUUGCUUCCCCCAAUCACUGUGGCGGUUCCCAGUUUCAAUGUGGCCACAAUCGGAACCAGUGAAGGUAGAAAACUCUGGAACAGAGAUCGGCGACCGGAGCAGGAUUCAGGGCUUUAAAUUUUAACCUGAGUUCGAUCGAAUGGGACUGGCAGAAGAGCUGACCUGGCGUCCGCCUGCCAGUUAACUCCGACCAGGGUUGAAAGCUACUUUCUUUUGGGUUUUUCGUGAGUUUCCGACCAAGUUUUUAACAGACUCAGUUUUUUCAGAAGCUCAUUUGUAAGCAGUUACAGAAACGUUGUGGACAUUUGAUUUUCUUUGGGGCCAACUGUUGCCAAGUGCUUCUCAGUUUUACUCUUAAAAGCAAAGGUUUUUUUUUUUCUUUUUUCUUAAUUCAUAUCUCAGUGAGGUGAUUUCUAAUGCGGACGAGUUUUUAAAAAUCCUCUGGCUAAGUUAGAUUCCAGGAUGUGAAUGGCCUCCAAGCCUGAGCCCUGAGAAGACCCAGACCCGAACCUGAUUCCUGUUGUGUGUGUUUCUUUAUAUUAGGAAGUAUGAAGGUGUCUGAAUUUCCUUGGACAAUAGCUAAGCCCCCAGGGACGUGCUUUCCCCGCAGCUCCGCAGCAGCUGUACGAGGGUGCACCGGCCCUGACACCGCUGGGACAGACCGUGACCGACCCCACAACGUGCGGUCUCAAAUGGCUCGAGAAGGCGCCCGGGAUUUUACCUUCCAGAUUCCCAAUCUCUUUUUAACAUUGCCUAAAACAAGGGUGGGCAGUUGCAAUUUGCUCCUUUGCACGGUCACAAUUUUUUUUAGACUGGUUUUCCAACUAAAGGAAAUGAGGGGUAGUAAAAUGGUUUUUCUUUUUUUUUUCUUUUCAGUUCGCUUAAAAAUAAAACAAAACCGUUUAACCCGUAGAGUUUAUCCAGACA
This 1386-nucleotide long non-coding RNA is filed under the name Lynx pardinus (Iberian lynx). Lineage: Eukaryota; Metazoa; Chordata; Mammalia; Carnivora; Felidae. The record is from RNAcentral.